AUUAAUUAGGAAGUAAAAUUGUAAUCAUUCAGAGGAAUAAGUAUUAUGACAUAUAUCUCUCAUUUGAAAAUACACCAAAUCAAAUUACAUGGUGACCACAUUUUCUAAACCUUUCCAGGUGUCUGUUUCACCCUUAUUCAUCAUUAAUCCAUUUAUUGGUAGGGACAGCCACACAUUAUCAGAUUGAGAAGAAAAACCUCUACACUUCUCUUUCCAAAGCUAAAAAUUCUUGCA
Long non-coding RNA from Pipistrellus kuhlii (Kuhl's pipistrelle), 234 nucleotides. RefSeq lists it as uncharacterized. Lineage: Eukaryota; Metazoa; Chordata; Mammalia; Chiroptera; Vespertilionidae. The transcript is spliced from 2 exons. The record is from RefSeq and is a predicted model, not a curated record.